Molecule: ribosomal RNA, 237 nt
Filed under: uncultured Lactobacillus sp.
Lineage: Bacteria; Bacillati; Bacillota; Bacilli; Lactobacillales; Lactobacillaceae
Description: partial 16S ribosomal RNA
Rfam family: Bacterial small subunit ribosomal RNA
Source: RNAcentral
GCCCCACUAGUCUGGGAUACCACUUGGAAACAAGGUGCUAAUACCGGAUAAGAAAGCGGAUCGCAUGAUCAGCUUUUAAAAGGCGGCGUAAGCUGUCGCUAUGGGAUGGCCCCGCGGUGCAUUAGCUAGUUGGUAAGGUAAAGGCUUACCAAGGCGAUGAUGCAUAGCCGAGUUGAGAGACUGAUCGGCCACAUUGGGACUGAGACACGGCCCAAACUCCUACGGGAGGCAGCAGUA